AGGUACGUUGUUCUAUUGGUCCCCUAAUCCUUUCUUCACGUGUCCUUUGUCAAUGUCUUUAUUCUUUUCUCCAUGUACAUUUUCUAUUACAACUUACAAGAGCAAGGCUUUUAGCUUUACUUGUGUACAUUUCUUUUACCUUGACCUAAGUAGUCAAGGGCACCCGUUCCC
Long non-coding RNA from Ipomoea nil (Japanese morning glory), 171 nucleotides. RefSeq lists it as uncharacterized. The transcript has 2 exons. The record is from RefSeq and is a predicted model, not a curated record. Lineage: Eukaryota; Viridiplantae; Streptophyta; Magnoliopsida; Solanales; Convolvulaceae.